AACGAACGUUAGCGGCGCGCCUAACACAUGCAAGUCGCACGAGAAAGGGCUUCGGCCCCGGUAAAGUGGCGCACGGGUGAGUAACACGUGGGUAACCUGCCCUCGAGCGGGGGAUAACAUUCCGAAAGGAGUGCUAAUACCGCAUAAGACCACGACCUCGAAAGAGGUUGAGGUCAAAGCUGGCCUCUAUACAUAAGCUAGCACUUGAGGAUGGGCCCGCGGAGCAUCAGCUAGUUGGUGAGGUAAUGGCUCACCAAGGCUAAGACGCUUAGCUGGUCUGAGAGGAUGAUCAGCCACACUGGAACUGAGACACGGUCCAGACUCCUACGGGAGGCAGCAGUGGGGAAUCUUGCGCAAUGGGCGAAAGCCUGACGCAGCGACGCCGCGUGAGUGAUGAAGGCCUUCGGUUGUAAGCUCUGUGGGGCGAGACGAAUAAGUGCAGCCUAAUACGUUGCAUGAUGACGGUAUCGCCUUAGCAAGC
RNAcentral lists this ribosomal RNA (481 nucleotides) under uncultured bacterium. Its description in RNAcentral is "bacterial SSU rRNA". It matches the Rfam family "Bacterial small subunit ribosomal RNA", at positions 29 to 491 of the family's 1533-position model. The record is from RNAcentral.